GGGGAUUUAGCUAAGUGGCAUAAGCACCUGCCUUGCAAGCAGCGGUCCUGAGUUCAAUCCCCG
This 63-nucleotide transfer RNA is filed under the name Cavia porcellus (domestic guinea pig). It matches the Rfam family "tRNA". From Rfam's summary of the family: Transfer RNA (tRNA) molecules are approximately 80 nucleotides in length. Their secondary structure includes four short double-helical elements and three loops (D, anti-codon, and T loops). The record is from Rfam by way of RNAcentral. Lineage: Eukaryota; Metazoa; Chordata; Mammalia; Rodentia; Caviidae.